UAAUUUCAUCUUUAAAAAAGUGUUCGUGUGGCACUACUCGGAAUAACUAUUCAAAUAGUACUAUUCCAACAACUUUAUUCCUCUAGUACUAUUUCAAUGGCACUAUUCAUGUGAAUACUAUCCUGAGGCCUUUAUUUUAAUUAAAGUUAAAAAGUCUGCAUACUUCGCUUAAUUCAAAGUAUUUUGAACUUAAGUUAUUUAACCACCUUGAGAUUGAGGGUAUGCUGAAAAUAAAGAAAAUCAAUGUAGUUAUAUUUUAAAGUAUGUCUUCAUUGUAUUUUUUUUUUUUUUUUUAUUUUUUUUUUUAUUUUUUUUUGUAUUUUUUUUUUUUCUAAAAGUCUGCAUACUUCGCUUAAUUCAAAGUAUUUUGAACUUAAGUUAUUUAACCACCUUGAGAUUGAGGGUAUGCUGAAAAUAAAG
This 420-nucleotide long non-coding RNA is filed under the name Solanum tuberosum (potato). Its description in RNAcentral is "long non-coding RNA (STUB_LNC005858)". Lineage: Eukaryota; Viridiplantae; Streptophyta; Magnoliopsida; Solanales; Solanaceae. The record is from RNAcentral.